CGGUGGCUAUAGAGAAGAGGAAACACCUGUUCCCAUUCCGAACACAGAAGUUAAGCUCUUCAUCGCCGAUGGUACUGCAUGGGUAACCGUGUGGGAGAGUAGGGAGUUGCCG
This 112-nucleotide ribosomal RNA is filed under the name Spirochaetes bacterium ADurb.BinA120. The record is from RNAcentral. Lineage: Bacteria; Pseudomonadati; Spirochaetota.